GCGGUCUCCUCCCAAAGCGUAACGGAGGAGCACGAAGGUUAGCUAAUCCUGGUCGGACAUCAGGAGGUUAGUGCAAUGGCAUAAGCUAGCUUGACUGCGAGCGUGACGGCGCGAGCAGGUGCGAAAGCAGGUCAUAGUGAUCCGGUGGUUCUGAAUGGAAGGGCCAUCGCUCAACGGAUAAAAGGUACUCCGGGGAUAACAGGCUGAUACCGCCCAAGAGUUCAUAUCGACGGCGGUGUUUGGCACCUCGAUGUCGGCUCAUCACAUCCUGGGGCUGAAGUAGGUCCCAAGGGUAUGGCUGUUCGCCAUUUAAAGUGGUACGCGAGCUGGGUUUAGAACGUCGUGAGACAGUUCGGUCCCUAUCUGCCGUGGGCGCUGGAGAAUUGAGGGGGGCUGCUCCUAGUACGAGAGGACCGGAGUGGACGCAUCACUGGUGUU
RNAcentral lists this ribosomal RNA (438 nucleotides) under Klebsiella pneumoniae. Its description in RNAcentral is "partial 23S ribosomal RNA". It matches the Rfam family "Bacterial large subunit ribosomal RNA", at positions 2279 to 2716 of the family's 2925-position model. Lineage: Bacteria; Pseudomonadati; Pseudomonadota; Gammaproteobacteria; Enterobacterales; Enterobacteriaceae. The record is from RNAcentral.